AAGCGCCUGCGCUGUUGGUGAUAGGACUGUAUUUUUUUGAGCCUAAAGCUUUUUAAGGGAUCCCAAUAUCUGGCUGCAAUGGCCGCGCCCCUCACGGGGAUGGCCUGACCUUCCGUGCGGGAACCCACCUGUAUACCAGGUUCAAAAAGCUAUCCUACACGGCAGCGCGGGUUUUUU
Molecule: non-coding RNA, 177 nt
Filed under: Spirochaetes bacterium RBG_13_51_14
Lineage: Bacteria; Pseudomonadati; Spirochaetota
Description: 6S RNA
Rfam family: 6S / SsrS RNA
About the family: E. coli 6S RNA was the first non coding RNA to be sequenced, but its function was unknown until recently. It consists of 184 nucleotides that fold into an extended hairpin structure with a large single-stranded internal bulge. The 6S RNA specifically associates with RNA polymerase holoenzyme containing the sigma70 specificity factor.
Source: RNAcentral